Molecule: ribosomal RNA, 545 nt
Filed under: uncultured bacterium
Lineage: Bacteria
Description: bacterial SSU rRNA
Rfam family: Bacterial small subunit ribosomal RNA
Source: RNAcentral
GUUUGAUCAUGGCUCAGAACGAACGCUGGCGGCAUGCCUAACACAUGCAAGUCGAACGAAGCCUUCGGGCUUAGUGGCGCACGGGUGCGUAACGCGUGGGAAUCUGCCCUUGGGUUCGGAGCAACAGUUAGAAAUGACUGCUAAUACCGGAUGAUGUCUUCGGACCAAAGAUUUAUCGCCCAGGGAUGAGCCCGCGUAGGAUUAGGUAGUUGGUGGGGUAAUGGCCCACCAAGCCGACGAUCCUUAGCUGGUCUGAGAGGAUGAUCAGCCACACUGGGACUGAGACACGGCCCAGACUCCUACGGGAGGCAGCAGUGGGGAAUAUUGGACAAUGGGCGAAAGCCUGAUCCAGCAAUGCCGCGUGAGUGAUGAAGGCCUUAGGGUUGUAAAGCUCUUUUACCAGGGAUGAUAAUGACAGUACCUGGAGAAUAAGCUCCGGCUAACUCCGUGCCAGCAGCCGCGGUAAUACGGAGGGAGCUAGCCUUGUUCGGAAUUACUGGGCGUUAAGCGUACGUAGGCGGUUAUUCCAGUCAGAGGUGGAAGCC